Long non-coding RNA from Saccostrea cuccullata (small rock oyster), 533 nucleotides. RefSeq lists it as uncharacterized. The record is from RefSeq and is a predicted model, not a curated record. NCBI's taxonomy places the organism in Eukaryota, Metazoa, Mollusca, Bivalvia, Ostreida, Ostreidae. The transcript is spliced from 4 exons.
GAGAAUUCUUAAGAAGUGUUCAAUAUGUAAAUGUGGUAUUGAGGACAGUUUUUCGACGAGCAAAUCUUUUCUUGAAGAAAAUAACAGUUUUAAAACCGAAGUGAGUUAGUCAUGUGUUCAAAUCCUGACGCCUGUGAUGUUCAAAUGGAUCGGAUCACGUGACGAAAACAGCGCAAGGUGUAACUCAGCUUGGUGAGCGGGAAAACAUGUGGAGUAUAAAUUGACUAUACACGUGUUUAAGGCUAUUUAUUCAGCGUAUGGCUACAAAUCCAGGAUUUUUGAAUUCUUAAAUAAGUCCAUUUUGACUGACAUUGAAGUUGGAUAAGGGCACCGUUCUCUGAUUUUUAGGAAAACCCAUCUUUGAGUUCAGUCUGCAUUGCGACAACAAUCAAUCCUGUCUGCGUAGUUGUACAAGAAAGUGGACCAAUAUUAGGACUGGAUAAAGAGAGAUGGCUAAAUCAAAGUCAAAGAGGAUACAUGUAUUCAAGCACUUCAAAAAGAAGAAAGAGAAACCCGAAACUACACACGAAAUA